CCUGUGAGGCCAAACCUCCCAAUUGCUGCCCUCAUCUUCUCCUCCUCAUUCCCAGGGUACUCUCUCAUCAUGUACUGAAGAGCAGACAUGUCCAUGUCUAGAUUCUCUUCUCCUCCUCAUUCCCAGGGUACUCUCUCAUCAUGUACUGAAGAGCAGACAUGUCCAUGUCUAGCUUCUCAGCUAAGUGUUGGUGGUACUGCGCGAUUUUAAGGUGAUUAUGCCGUUUAACCAUGCCAUCAGUGGGGAAUAAGUCCCCUAUCAUCAGCUUAAGCAAUGUGCUCUUUCCAGCUCCAUUAGGCCCCACAAGUGCUAUCCUGGAAUCAAGAUCUACACCAAAAUCAAGGUUCUUGUAGAUGAGGUUCUCAGGUGUGUAACCAAAUGCGACUUCUGAAAACUGUAAAACAGGAGGAGGAAGUUUGCCAACAUCAGUAAACCGGAAAACCAAAACACUGUCCCUCCCCACCUU
RNAcentral lists this long non-coding RNA (466 nucleotides) under Nicotiana benthamiana. RNAcentral describes it as "long non-coding RNA (NBEN_LNC040051)". Lineage: Eukaryota; Viridiplantae; Streptophyta; Magnoliopsida; Solanales; Solanaceae. The record is from RNAcentral.